This 2114-nucleotide long non-coding RNA is filed under the name Nicotiana tabacum (common tobacco). RNAcentral's name for it is "long non-coding RNA (NTAB_LNC005294)". Lineage: Eukaryota; Viridiplantae; Streptophyta; Magnoliopsida; Solanales; Solanaceae. The record is from RNAcentral.
CAUACCCCUUCCGCUCCAUUUCUACUUCCUCUGUUUGACAAGAACUUAGAUUGUCAAGGUAUAAUAACUGAGUUUACACUAAUUAGUUGAAAUGUCUACAACAUCCGGUAUAUCCUCCAGAAAUGCUCUCUUCAAUAACAUCGAGGCAGGCUGUAUAAUGUGCAUGCCUGGAGAAGUCUUCAAAACAUGUUGUCUAGUAGUUUCUAGGAUAGCAGAUAACUCAUGUAUAUGUUUAAUUUUAUCUAUCCUUUGAAGUCUAUUAGUAUGCGCUUUACGUCCCUUUGCAAUAUGUAAUGCCCAUAUACGAGAAAUUACUAAGAGGUCUUAAGAAGAUACCACAUCAUAGAUAAUACCAACUCCUUCCCUUCAUCAGAAAUAUUGAUCUUGGAUGAUUGUCACAUGGUAAUAACUAGUUUUUAGUACAAAUAUAGAUGGAAAAGAAAAAAUACAACACCUUAUUCUUUUUGCAUUUAGAUAACCUUUUAACAACGCAAAAAUGUCAAUUAGUUCAAGAAGAUGAAUGGGGCUAAGCAAUCUGCCGAAGCUGUGGGAUGUAAAAAUACAUCGGUAGGGACGGAGAUCGAGAAAGCCCUAUACUCGACCUACUUCCAUCUUAAAGCAUUGAAAGAAAGGCAGGUAGCUUUGCCGAGUUUAAACAUUAUUAAAUGUUACUGCAAGAAGCUAUAUAAGAAUGGGCUAUCUUUUUUGCCAAUUUCAACAGAACUAAAUCGGCUUCGACCCAUUGCAUUUGCUAUGUAAGAAUUGGGGUAUUUCAAUGGCCUUUAAUGUCCAAACAAGCCAUGGAAGACAUUGAGUUCCGUCGAGCAUAUGUGCAACUUCAUCAGAAAAAUAAUGCAUUAAGGAUGAAGCAAGAUCUUGGUCAAGCAACAAUAAUUUAAAGAAGCAAGACAUUUUAACCUCCACAACUAAAUAAUUCCAACCUUCAGUUCAGGUAGAGCAAGUUCAGCUCUCGAUGUUGCAAUUCGAGCACUGAACCACUAGAAUAAACCAAUGAUAUAAACAUGUCAGCUUAAAAACUGAAGGCUACAAAAGUGUAAAACCAUAAAGUUGAACAGUACAAUUUACGAAAAUAACAAACCAUAGCCUAUUCUAAGCACCCACCACUGGCAAAUCCUUGAAAAGUAGCAACAAAAGGAUUCUUUCUAUCUAGAAUAACCAACAUUAGAAAAAAUAAUUUAUUGAUAAUUUAUCUAUGUCAGUAUUUAUACACUAAAGAACAUCUCUAGAUUCUCAAAAACAUGACAAAAGACUUAGGUACGGAAACAAAUUAGCAACCUACUUAAAAAGCCCAAUUCCUAUAGUCACAAGCAUGAUAUGGAGAACAGAGUUCUCAAUGAUUCUCAAAAUCUGGAAGAAAAUUGUGAGCUUCCAACAACAAGCCUUAACUUCUGGCGAAGAAAAAGAAAAACUCACUAAGGUAGAGAACAAACUAUACGGGGAUGAAAAAGAGCGAGCAAAAUCAAAGUAGUGGAAGGGGAUAUUGAAGUAUUAGUGGUAAUAUUAGCAAUUACAGAGCAAAUUACACGGGAGUGCUCUGCGAGUAAACCUCUGGGUAUUGGACGACAAUGGAGAUACUAUCAAGGUGGGUUGAAGGAACCAAAACCCUAAUUCAAAGCCUUAAUCGAAGUACUCAAAUAAUCAAAACCCUAAACUGGAAACUACGGAAAAUAAAGGGGCAGGAGGUUACCAUUUCAAGACUUAAUCAACCAUUAAUGUAGAAGCAACGGUAACAUCGGCAAUGGAGGUGGUGGAAGAUGCGGCAGUAAAAAUAGAAAUUUCUUCAGCCCCAGCAAAUCGAUAGAGGUGUGGGAUUAAAAAUGGGCAAAUAUUUACUGUGCGUCCUUUUUCCUUUUAGAAAAUAGGAGAAAAUAUUUCAUUAGGAAAAAUAAUGGAGGGAAACUUCUAAUGAAAAUAUUGGUUGGAAAAGUUUAGAGCGCGCUUAUAAAAGGUUGCUUUUAGGAUUAAAAAAUGGGACGCUCUAAAAACGUUGUAAUAUAGGUGAGUAUGUGUUGCCAAAUGUUAUUUGAAUUGGCAACACUUAUAAUGCGUUGUCUAUAUACUCAAAGAGAACUCUUAACCAGCGUGGUCUAAAC